CCUACGGGUGGCAGCAGUGGGGAAUAUUGCACAAUGGGGGAAACCCUGAUGCAGCGACGCCGCGUGAGCGAGGAAGUCUUUCGGUAUGUAAAGCUCUAUCAGCAGGGACGAAAAAAGACGGUACCUGACUAAGAAGCCACGGCUAACUACGGGCCAGCAGCCGCGGUAAUACGGAGGGGGCGAGCGUUAUCCGGAUUUACUGGGUGUAAAGGGAGCGUAGACGGUGCAGCAAGUCUGAGGGGAAAGGUCGGGGCCCAACCCCGGGACCGCCUUGGAAACUGUUGCACUGGAGUAGAGGAGAGGUAAGCGGAAUUCCGAGUGUAGCGGUGAAAUGCGUAGAUAUUAGGAGGAACACCAGUGGCGAAGGCGGCUUACUGGACUGUAACUGACGUUGAGGCUCGAAAGCGUGGGGAGCAAACAGGAUUAGAUACCCGAGUAGUC
Molecule: ribosomal RNA, 441 nt
Filed under: uncultured bacterium
Lineage: Bacteria
Description: partial 16S ribosomal RNA
Rfam family: Bacterial small subunit ribosomal RNA
Source: RNAcentral